GACUGCACUAGAUAGGAAUAGCCUCAAUAAAUAUGAGGCUCUGAUUUGUUCUCAGCUGCACUGUUAUAAAUCCAAACUAUUUCCCUGCUAGCAGAGGAAAUAUUCCACUUUACUGUACUAGUAAGAUCCAUAUAAGUAGCAUUGAUAUAAUUAUAUAAAGUAGCUAGAAUUAAAAAUGAGCCUCCUACAGUUUACGUUGUAAUUAUGUACUUGAUUUCUGAAGUGGAAUCUAGUUCCAUACGGUGUAAUUAAGAAGAGUAAGAUCUGGGUUAUCUUACAUAGUGUUUCCUUGCAGAUUUUUUAGAUACUUGGUAGAAACAGCCUUUCUUUUAUGUGAUUUACAGGAAGAACUUGGAGACGGAGUCACUAUCCUUCUUACAGAGAGGGAAAAAAAAUGGUGUUACCCUGUUUAGCAAGAAAAUGCAUUACUGAACUGCUUCAAGACUCACUGCCUCUGCAGUUACUUGUUAUCUUCACUGGAGCUGGGAAACCUGGUUAGCUCAGCCACCAAAUAUGUUUCCUAUAAAAUGUCCCCAGUGUUUACUAUGAAGAGACUGCAUCUGAAAAGACAGCUAAGAAUUGUGUAUCGGCACAUUGACCCUCUCUCUUCAUAAGAGGAGCGGGGGUGUGCCUGCAAGGAGAGACAAGUUCGUUGCUUGGUAGGACUUAUCCUGAGAGGUCCUUGCUGUAGUGUUUGCCGUCUGUGCUGCUUGGUUUUGGCAUUAUCUUCACCUGCUCCUGCUUCCCUUGCACUACUGUGUGGAAAAACCCAUCUGGAGUAUUGCUUGAUGAGAGCGGCUGCUCCAUACCUCUUAAGAAAUGAUGGAUGUGGCAACAGGACUUGCCCAGAAAGCCCUCCUGCAAUCUGCUGGAAACGUGUCUUUCCUCACAGAAUCCUAAAAUAAUUUAGGUUGGAAGGAGACUUUGGAGGGCAGCUGGUCCAUCUCCUCAGUCAAAGCAGGGACAGCUUUGAACUUGGAUUACCCAGGAAGGGAAAUCAAGUGUUCUGGGGAGGAAAAACCUUACAUACGAGAGCUGGACCUGCAACAGGUUUUUCUGUAUCUUACCUAAUUCUCAGAGCCCAGAGCGACUGGGCUGCUGGGGCAUAUCUGUUCCAAUGAAACCCACUGCUAAGUUAAUUACAAAGGUCUCCUGUUGUAACUUGCUUUGCUAAUCCUCAAACAAUUUCAAAUUGAUUAUCUUGGCCUACUCUGGGUAAGACAGAAAAGUAAGUCCAAAUGUAAUAGAGGCUUCAUUACAAAGUGGACUAGUGAUGACAGCCAUGCAGAUAUGGGACACAUUAUGUAUUUUACCUUUAUGAAAUGAUAAUAUUUUACAUUGUGUGUUAAACCUUUGUAAAAAAAACACCCAUGUAAUAUAUCCAAAUAACAGAGCAGAUUAUAAGGCCACUAAAAAGGAUUAACGUUCAGAUGUUCCUGGGGAAGAAAAAUUGUUUAUAUCCUCCUUUAAUUGAAACCGUCCAUGUGAAAUAUGCUACAGCCUAAAUAGAUUAGAUUAUAAACUAUUGUCACGGGAGGAUGUAAGCAUAUAAUUGCCUCCUUUAAUU
Molecule: long non-coding RNA, 1567 nt
Filed under: Calidris pugnax (ruff)
Lineage: Eukaryota; Metazoa; Chordata; Aves; Charadriiformes; Scolopacidae
Description: lncRNA (ENSCPUG00000009268.1)
Source: RNAcentral